AUUUUAAGAGUUUUUAAAAUGAUUUACAAUGGUUUUUAGCAACUACCAAAACUUUUAAAAAAUUUACAAAGAUUUUUAAAAGCAUUUUUUUGGCUGGGAAAAAAAUUUUACGAGAAAACAUUUUUGGCGGGAAAUUUUUUUUUUGGCGGGAAAAAAAGUUUGGCGGAAAUUUUUUGUUUGGCGGGAAAAAUAAAUUUUGGUACAUGUUAUUAUUAAAUGAGGGUAAUUUGGUCAUUCUGUUCAAUAGAAGGGAUAUUUUUAAAAAUAAACAAUAUAAAAUGGUAUUGUUACAAAAGGGUAGUAAAAAAAGGGUAGUUUUGCAAAUCUCCCUCGAGAAUUUGCAAUUUCUCUCUCAUAGCAUAACAUGUCUUUUUUUUAGUAAAUU
This 385-nucleotide small RNA is filed under the name Arabidopsis thaliana (thale cress). RNAcentral's name for it is "ATSL288450". Lineage: Eukaryota; Viridiplantae; Streptophyta; Magnoliopsida; Brassicales; Brassicaceae. The record is from RNAcentral.